RNAcentral lists this ribosomal RNA (488 nucleotides) under uncultured bacterium. RNAcentral describes it as "partial 16S ribosomal RNA". It matches the Rfam family "Bacterial small subunit ribosomal RNA", at positions 28 to 506 of the family's 1533-position model. The record is from RNAcentral.
GACGAACGCUGGCGGCGUGCUUAACACAUGCAAGUCGAACGGUGAAGGGAUCAGCUUGCUGGUUCUGGAUGAGUGGCGGACGGGUGAGUAACACGUGAGUAACCUGCCCCCUUCUGCUGGAUAACCGCAUGAAAGUGUGGCUAAUACGGGAUAUUCUGCGCCUGCUGCAUGGUGGGUGUGGGAAAGAUAUUGUUUCGGCGGGGGAUGGGCUCGCGGCCUCUCAGCUUGGUGGUGGGGUGAUGGCCUACCAAGGCGGUGACGGGUAGCCGGCCUGAGAGGGGGGACGGUCACAGUGGGACUGAGACACGGCCCUGACUCCUACGCGAGGCAGCAGUGGGGAAUAGUGCACGAGGGGCGCAAGCCUGAUGCAGCGACGCCGCGUGAGGGAUGGAGGUCUUCGGGUUGUGAACCUCUUUCGCCAGUGAAGUAGGCCUGUCCCUUGUCGGUGGGUUGACGGUAGCUGGAUAAGAAGCGCCGCCUACCUACGU